AACGAACGCUGGCGGCAGGCUUAACACAUGCAAGUCGAACGGGUGUAGCAAUACAUCAGUGGCAGACGGGUGAGUAACACGUGGGAACCUUCCUCGUUGUACGGGACAACUCAGGGAAACUUGAGCUAAUACCGUAUACGUCCGAGAGGAGAAAGAUUUAUCGCAAUGAGACGGGCCCGCGUCGGAUUAGCUAGUUGGUGGGUAACGGCCUACCAAGGCGACGAUCCGUAGCUGAUCUGAGAGGAUGAUCAGCCACACUGGGACUGAGACACGGCCCAGACUCCUACGGGAGGCGGCAGUGGGGAAUCUUGGACAAUGGGCGCAAGCCUGAUCCAGCCAUGCCGCGUGAGUGAAGAAGGCCUUAGGGUUGUAAAGCUCUUUUGCCAGGGACGAUAAUGACGGUACCUGGAGAAUAAGCCCCGGCAAACUUCGUGCCAGCAGCCGCGGUAAU
RNAcentral lists this ribosomal RNA (451 nucleotides) under uncultured bacterium. RNAcentral describes it as "bacterial SSU rRNA". It matches the Rfam family "Bacterial small subunit ribosomal RNA", at positions 29 to 524 of the family's 1533-position model. The record is from RNAcentral.